This 253-nucleotide ribosomal RNA is filed under the name uncultured bacterium. RNAcentral's name for it is "partial 16S ribosomal RNA". It matches the Rfam family "Bacterial small subunit ribosomal RNA", at positions 524 to 776 of the family's 1533-position model. The record is from RNAcentral.
UACGGGGGGGGCAAGCGUUGUUCGGAAUUACUGGGCGUAAAGGGCUCGUAGGCGGCCCACUAAGUCGGACGUGAAAUCCCCAGGCUCAACCUGGGAACUGCGUCCGAUACUGGAUGGCUUGAAUCCGGGAGAGGGAUGCAGAAUUCCAGGUGUAGCGGUGAAAUGCGUAGAUAUCUGGAGGAAUACCGGUGGCGAAGGCGGCAUCCUGGACCGGCAUUGACGCUGAGGAGCGAAAGCCAGGGGAGCAAACGGG